RNAcentral lists this ribosomal RNA (497 nucleotides) under uncultured bacterium. RNAcentral's name for it is "partial 16S ribosomal RNA". It matches the Rfam family "Bacterial small subunit ribosomal RNA", at positions 28 to 507 of the family's 1533-position model. The record is from RNAcentral.
GAUGAACGCUGGCGGCGUGCCUAAUACAUGCAAGUCGAGCGAACAGAUAAGGAGCUUGCUCCUUUGACGUUAGCGGCGGACGGGUGAGUAACACGUGGGUAACCUACCUAUAAGACUGGAAUAACUUCGGGAAACCGGGGCUAAUGCCGGAUAACCUUUAGAACCGCAUGGUUCUACAGUGAAAGAUGGUUUUGCUAUCACUUAUAGAUGGACUCGCGCCGUAUUAGCUAGUUGGUAAGGUAACGGCUUACCAAGGCAACGAUACGUAGCCGACCUGAGAGGGUGAUCGGCCAAACUGGAACUGAGACACGGUCCAGACUCCUACGGGAGGCAGCAGUAGGGAAUCUUCCGCAAUGGGCGAAAGCCUGACGGAGCAGCGCCGCGUGAGUGAUGAAGGUCUUCGGAUCGUGAAACUCUGUUAUUAGGGAAGAACAAAUGUGUAAGUGACUGUGCACGUCUUGACGGUACCUAAUCAGAAAGCCACGGCUAACUUCGUG